CCCCGGGUUCGUCUGCUAUUUAGGCUUUGUGAAAGCACUCACAUAGACAGGCAACAACAAACUCAGUAGAAGAUUUAACGGUGAAGUGUUUAUGAGUGACAGGCUGAUCUGAAGCAGGAAGCAGGUCAACAUGUGAAAAAAGAAACUGACUGAGACACAGUGGUUGUCAGACACAGACAUGCUGAUUUUGACUGACACAGGGACAGGUAAACCAUUAGACAGGUGAACGGACACAGAAAACCAGCAGGUACCUCCGUGUUUGUGUUAACACUGAGGAGCAGAACACAAGAUGUCCUGUCCUUCACCUCCUUCUCCUCCACCUGUCCCGAAGCCUCGAACUUGUUACAUGAGGGACAGUCCGAGCUCUGCCUCCUCUUUGGACAGAGACAUGACUGGUGAAAACCUGCAGCCAGUUUCCUGUGAUGGGGUUCACAUGAGCACAGGUGAAGAUGACCAUCCUCUACCU
This is a long non-coding RNA of Monopterus albus (swamp eel), 466 nucleotides long. RefSeq lists it as uncharacterized. Lineage: Eukaryota; Metazoa; Chordata; Actinopteri; Synbranchiformes; Synbranchidae. The record is from RefSeq and is a predicted model, not a curated record. The transcript is spliced from 4 exons.